RNAcentral lists this ribosomal RNA (301 nucleotides) under uncultured bacterium. RNAcentral's name for it is "partial 16S ribosomal RNA". It matches the Rfam family "Bacterial small subunit ribosomal RNA", at positions 510 to 808 of the family's 1533-position model. The record is from RNAcentral.
CACCGCCGCGGGAAUACAGAGGGUGCGAGCGUUAAUCGGAUUUACUGGGCGUAAAGCGUGCGUAGGCGGCUUCUUAAGUCGGAUGUGAAAUCCCUGAGCUUAACUUAGGAAUUGCAUUCGAUACUGGGAAGCUAGAGUAUGGGAGAGGAUGGUAGAAUUCCAGGUGUAGCGGUGAAAUGCGUAGAGAUCUGGAGGAAUACCGAUGGCGAAGGCAGCCAUCUGGCCUAAUACUGACGCUGAGGUACGAAAGCAUGGGGAGCAAACAGGAUUAGAUACCCCUGUAGUCCCUGUCUCUUAUACA